GAUGAAGAACGCAGCGAAAUGCGAUAAGUAAUGUGAAUUGCAGAAUUCAGUGAAUCAUCGAAUCUUUGAACGCACCUUGCGCUCCUUGGUAUUCCAAGGAGCAUGCCUGUUUGAGUAUCAUUAAAUUAUCAACUGUGCCAAUUUGGUUACAGAUUGGAUGUGGGAGAUUCUUUUUGCAGGCCUUUGACUUCUCUUUGAGAAAAAAAUAAAAGGUCGGCUCUCCUGAAAUGUAUUAGCAGUGCCUUUGUUGGUUCAUUAGGUGUGAUAAAUUGUCUACAUCUUCACAUGAUACCUUCAUUUGUAAAGGUUAUAUUGCUUCUAAAUUGUCUUUGAUUGGACGCAAAACAUAUAUAAUGUUUGACAAACUUGAUCUCAAAUCAGGCAGGACUACCCGCUGAGCUUAAGCAUAUCAAUAAGCGGAGGA
This 424-nucleotide unclassified non-coding RNA is filed under the name soil metagenome. RNAcentral describes it as "partial contains 5.8S ribosomal RNA, internal transcribed spacer 2, and large subunit ribosomal RNA". The stretch from base 1 to 120 matches the Rfam family "5.8S ribosomal RNA", at positions 35 to 154 of the family's 154-position model. The record is from RNAcentral.